UACGAAGGGGGCUAGCGUUGCUCGGAAUCACUGGGCGUAAAGGGUGCGUAGGCGGGUCUUUAAGUCAGGGGUGAAAUCCUGGAGCUCAACUCCAGAACUGCCUUUGAUACUGAAGAUCUUGAGUUCGGGAGAGGUGAGUGGAACUGCGAGUGUAGAGGUGAAAUUCGUAGAUAUUCGCAAGAACACCAGUGGCGAAGGCGGCUCACUGGCCCGAUCACUGACGCUGAGGCGCGAAAGCUAGGGGAGCAAACGGG
RNAcentral lists this ribosomal RNA (254 nucleotides) under uncultured bacterium. RNAcentral's name for it is "partial 16S ribosomal RNA". It matches the Rfam family "Bacterial small subunit ribosomal RNA", at positions 524 to 776 of the family's 1533-position model. The record is from RNAcentral.